GAUGAACGCUGGCGGCGUGCCUAAUACAUGCAAGUCGAGCGAACAGACGAGGAGCUUGCUCCUUUGACGUUAGCGGCGGACGGGUGAGUAACACGUGGAUAACCUACCUAUAAGACUGGGAUAACUUGGGGAAACCGGAGCUAAUACCAGAUAACAUGUUGAAACGCAUGGUUCAACAGUGAAAGAGGGUUUUGCUGUCACUUAUAGAUGGAUCCGCGCCUCAUUAGCUAGUUGGUAAGGUAACGGCUUACCAAGGCAACGAUGCGUAGCCGACCUGAGAGGGUGAUCGGCCACACUGGAACUGAGACACGGUCCAGACUCCUACGGGAGGCAGCAGUAGGGAAUCUUCCGCAAUGGGCGAAAGCCUGACGGAGCAACGCCGCGUGAGUGAAGAAGGUCUUCGGAUCGUAAAACUCUGUUAUUAGGGAAGAACAAAUGUGUAAGUAACUAUGCACGUCUUGACGGUACCUAAUCAGAAAGCCACGGCUAACUACGUG
RNAcentral lists this ribosomal RNA (497 nucleotides) under uncultured bacterium. Its description in RNAcentral is "partial 16S ribosomal RNA". It matches the Rfam family "Bacterial small subunit ribosomal RNA", at positions 28 to 507 of the family's 1533-position model. The record is from RNAcentral.